UACGGAGGGUGCAAGCGUUAUCCGGAUUCACUGGGUUUAAAGGGUGCGUAGGCGGGUAAGUAAGUCCGUGGUGAAAUCUCUGAGCUUAACUCAGAAACUGCCGUGGAUACUAUUUGCCUUGAAUAUUGUGGAGGUGAGCGGAAUAUGUCAUGUAGCGGUGAAAUGCUUAGAUAUGACAUAGAACACCAAUUGCGAAGGCAGCUCACUACACAGUCAUUGACGCUGAGGCACGAAAGCGUGGGGAGCAAACAGG
This 253-nucleotide ribosomal RNA is filed under the name uncultured bacterium. RNAcentral describes it as "partial 16S ribosomal RNA". It matches the Rfam family "Bacterial small subunit ribosomal RNA", at positions 524 to 776 of the family's 1533-position model. The record is from RNAcentral.